RNAcentral lists this ribosomal RNA (322 nucleotides) under Clostridioides difficile. RNAcentral describes it as "bacterial SSU rRNA". It matches the Rfam family "Bacterial small subunit ribosomal RNA", at positions 356 to 696 of the family's 1533-position model. Lineage: Bacteria; Bacillati; Bacillota; Clostridia; Peptostreptococcales; Peptostreptococcaceae. The record is from RNAcentral.
GGGGAAUAUUGCACAAUGGGCGAAAGCCUGAUGCAGCAACGCCGCGUGAGUGAUGAAGGCCUUCGGGUCGUAAAACUCUGUCCUCAAGGAAGAUAAUGACGGUACUUGAGGAGGAAGCCCCGGCUAACUACGUGCCAGCAGCCGCGGUAAUACGUAGGGGGCUAGCGUUAUCCGGAGUUACUGGGCGUAAAGGGUGCGUAGGCGGUCUUUCAAGUCAGGAGUGAAAGGCUACGGCUCAACCGUAGUAAGCUCUUGAAACUGGGAGACUUGAGUGCAGGAGAGGAGAGUGGAAUUCCUAGUGUAGCGGUGAAAUGCGUAGAUA